GUGGAUCCUGACUGGAGCCUUUGAACACUACAAACAGGAUGCAGACCUGCAGGAAACGGUCUGCAAACGUCCCACAUCAGUGGUCGUUGUUCCCCGAUGAUGACGCCAGUCAUGGUGGUGGAACAAACAGCAACGUGUAGAGAGAGACGCUCUGAGAUGCUCCCCAGAGCUCCGAGCGAAUUCCUCAACCCGGCUCUCCACCCACAGACACGCAGCUCAACAACACCCUCAGUCAGCGGCACUCGGCGACAGGAGGGAUCCAGGAUGCGGCAAAUCAGCCGAGACCCUGACAGUCAACUUCAUGCCCAGCGAUAAUGAGCUCCCAACGGAAACGCUGCGACACAGGAGGGACUGGAAGAUAGAAGAACGGAAGUAAUGAGCUAAUCAGCCACCAAGCAGAGCCCGGUGCCUUGGGGAGGGAAGUCAUGUGUGAAAUGGUAGAAAGCGGCCCAUAGCGGGCCGCAGCACAAAGGAACGCCGACAUGCACACCCACCCAUGUUAAGGCUCAGCCCCUGGAGGACAUUUAACAGGAAGUCUUCCUGCAUACUGGAUGUUUGGCCUUCUCCCCCUGGAAGGAU
Molecule: long non-coding RNA, 579 nt
Organism: Cyprinodon tularosa
Lineage: Eukaryota; Metazoa; Chordata; Actinopteri; Cyprinodontiformes; Cyprinodontidae
Exons: 3
Source: RefSeq, a predicted model, not a curated record